GACGAACGCUGGCGGCGUGCCUAACACAUGCAAGUCGAGCGGGCAUCGGGACGUAGCAAUACGUUGCCGGCGACCGGCGGAUGGGUGAGUAACGCGUAUGCAACCUACCCGUAGCAGGGGGAUAGCCCGUUGAAAGACGGAUUAAUACCCCGUAACGCAGGGGCUCCGCAUGGAGAUUAUUGUUAAAGGGUCAUUUCUUUUUCAGGGAUGGUCCGGCUGCGGAUGGGCAUGCGUUCCAUUAGGUAGUUGGUGUAGGUAACUGCUCACCAAGCCGACGAUGGAUAGGGGAACUGAGAGGUUGGUCCCCCACACUGGUACUGAGACACGGACCAGACUCCUACGGGAGGCAGCAGUGAGGAAUUUUGGUCAAUGGACGCAAGUCUGAACCAGCCAUGUCGCGUGAAGGAGGACGGCCCUAAGGGUUGUAAACUUCUUUUGCAGUGGAAUAAAGUUUGCCACGUGUUGGCGAUUUGCAAGUACGCUGCGAAUAAGGAUCGGCUAACUCCGUGCCAGCAGCCGCGGUAAUACGGAGGAUCCAGGCGUUAUCCGGAUUUAUUGGGUUUAAAGGGUGCGCAGGCGGGGAAUUAGGUCGGCGGUGAAAUUUCGGGGCUCAACCUCGACAGUGCCGUUGAAACCGUUUCUCUUGAGUGCGGAUGAGGUAGGCGGAAUUUGUGGUGUAGCGGUGAAAUGCGUAGAUAUCACAAGGAACACCGAUUGCGGAGGCAGCUUACUAAACCGUUACUGACGCUCAUGCACGAAGGCGUGGGGAUCAAACAGG
This 778-nucleotide ribosomal RNA is filed under the name uncultured bacterium. Its description in RNAcentral is "bacterial SSU rRNA". It matches the Rfam family "Bacterial small subunit ribosomal RNA", at positions 28 to 776 of the family's 1533-position model. The record is from RNAcentral.